UGUUCGAGCGUCAUUUCAACCCUCAAGCACUGCUUGGUGAUGGGACACUACGCCGCGUAGGCCCUGAAAUGUAGUGGCGGGCCCGCCGUGGUCCCGAGCGCAGUAAUACAUCUCGCUUAGGGCUCCAUGGCGGACCUCUGCCGUUAAACCCCCACUCAAAGGUUGACCUCGGAUCAGGUAGGAAUACCCGCUGAACUUAA
Molecule: unclassified non-coding RNA, 200 nt
Filed under: soil metagenome
Description: partial contains internal transcribed spacer 2 and large subunit ribosomal RNA
Source: RNAcentral